Molecule: ribosomal RNA, 405 nt
Filed under: uncultured Anaerolineaceae bacterium
Lineage: Bacteria; Bacillati; Chloroflexota; Anaerolineae; Anaerolineales; Anaerolineaceae
Description: bacterial SSU rRNA
Rfam family: Bacterial small subunit ribosomal RNA
Source: RNAcentral
UAGGGAAUAUUGCACAAUGGGCGCAAGCCUGAUGCAGCAACGCCGCGUGCACGAUGAAGGCCUUCGGGUUGUAAAGUGCUUUUCUGCAGGACGAGGAAGGACGGUACUGUAGGAAUAAGGAUCGGCUAACUACGUGCCAGCAGCCGCGGUAACACGUAGGAUCCGAGCGUUAUCCGAAUUCACUGGGCGUAAAGGGCUAGCAGGCGGCCGGAAAAGUUGGAUGUGAAAUCUCCUGGCUCAACUGGGAGAGGCCGUUCAAGACUAUCUGGCUCGAGGGCGAUAGAGGGAGGUGGAAUUCCAGGUGUAGUGGUGAAAUGCGUAGAUAUCUGGAGGAACACCAGUGGCGAAAGCGGCCUCCUGGAUCGCACCUGACGCUGAGAAGCGAAAGCUAGGGGAGCAAACGGG